This 287-nucleotide signal recognition particle RNA is filed under the name Sphenodon punctatus (tuatara). RNAcentral describes it as "Metazoan signal recognition particle RNA (ENSSPUG00000008826.1)". It matches the Rfam family "Metazoan signal recognition particle RNA". From Rfam's summary of the family: The signal recognition particle (SRP) is a universally conserved ribonucleoprotein. Lineage: Eukaryota; Metazoa; Chordata; Lepidosauria; Sphenodontia; Sphenodontidae. The record is from RNAcentral.
GCUGGGCACAGGUGGCUUGUGCCUGUAAUCCCAGCUCCUUUGGCAGCUGAGAUAGUAGACUCAUAUGAGUUCAGGGGUUGUGGGCUAUGCUGAUCAGGUGUCUGCACUAAGGUCAGCAUCAGUAUGGUGACAUGUAGGAAUCUGUAGGUUACAAGAUUGUCUAAGAAGGGGUGAAAUGGCACAGGUCAAGAAUUGAGGAGGCCAAAGCUCCUGUGCUGAGUAGUGAGAUUUUGCCUGUGAUUGGUCCCUGCAGCACAGCCUGGGCAAGAGAGUAAGACAGUCUCUUU